Long non-coding RNA from Athene cunicularia (burrowing owl), 604 nucleotides. RefSeq lists it as uncharacterized. The record is from RefSeq and is a predicted model, not a curated record. NCBI's taxonomy places the organism in Eukaryota, Metazoa, Chordata, Aves, Strigiformes, Strigidae. The transcript has 3 exons.
CUUGGGAAAUCCGCAGCUCUUCGUUCCGCAGGAUAUAUCCCAUCGUAUGUCUGAGCACAGCCUUCCGGAACCAUGAGGAAGACAGAGCUGAAGCACAGGCUUGGCCUUUAGAUGUCAGCUGGGAAAUCAUGAGAGCCUGAGCACCCUGCCUCAAAGAGUUGGCUUUCACCGUAACAGGAAUACUCCAGGAUUCUGAUAUGUGCUGAGAUCUCUGAUGCCAGGCACUACUUGCACAGAAACUUAGGGAAUCCCACCACAUAGGCAAGACCCACGUGUACAGAGAAGAUACAGCACUGUUUCCUCUUGGAAUCUGGGAACAGAGGAGAGAACAAAUGUCCUUUUCCAGCCUGAAUGGAUGUGGACUUUGUGAUUUAGCCAUGUGCAUCAGCCACCUCACAUCUAGCUUGUGCUGAAGAGAAGCCCCAGUGCCAAAGUGGGAAACUCCAGCUGCUUCCAGAGCAGGUAAGGGAUCCUCUGAUAGUGACCGUUUUAGGCAUAACUUGUCCAUCUCCUGGCCCCUCAGCUCUUGAGGGGACCAUGUGUCUAUAGGUAACAAGAGUGAGGUUUGAACGUUGUUGAAGCACAUUUUCCUGCCUCCUUCUUC